CCAAGAGGCAGUGAUACUCUAACAAUGAGCACACCUAGCAUCCUAAUCUUGGUUUCUAAUACCAUUCUCCAACAAAAGGAACCAGAGCUCCUUGG
Myotis brandtii (Brandt's bat) is the source of this 95-nucleotide long non-coding RNA. RefSeq lists it as uncharacterized. The transcript has 3 exons. NCBI's taxonomy places the organism in Eukaryota, Metazoa, Chordata, Mammalia, Chiroptera, Vespertilionidae. The record is from RefSeq and is a predicted model, not a curated record.